GAUGAACGCUGACAGAAUGCUUAACACAUGCAAGUCUUUGGCGAAGCUGUGCUUGCACAGCCUAGCCAAGGCGGACGGGUGAGUAACGCGUAAGGAACUUGCCCUGCAGUCAGGGAUAACAGACGGAAACGACUGAUAAGACCUGGUAAAGUCAGGCGGACUCAUGUCCAGCCUGAUGAAAAGAGAUGCUGCAGGAGAGCCUUGCGUCCUAUUAGCUUGUUGGUGGGGUACGGCCCACCAAGGCGAUGAUAGGUAGCCGGCCUGAGAGGGUGGACGGCCACAAGGGGACUGAGAUACGGCCCUUACUCCUACGGGAGGCAGCAGUGGAGAAUAUUGGACAAUGGGGGCAACCCUGAUCCAGCAAUUCUGUGUGCACGAUGAAGGUUUUCGGAUUGUAAAGUGCUUUCAGCAGGGAAGAAAAAAAUGACGGUACCUGCAGAAGAAGCGACGGCUAAAUACGUG
This 462-nucleotide ribosomal RNA is filed under the name uncultured bacterium. RNAcentral's name for it is "partial 16S ribosomal RNA". It matches the Rfam family "Bacterial small subunit ribosomal RNA", at positions 28 to 507 of the family's 1533-position model. The record is from RNAcentral.